RNAcentral lists this small nuclear RNA (217 nucleotides) under Carlito syrichta (Philippine tarsier). RNAcentral describes it as "U2 spliceosomal RNA (ENSTSYG00000019715.2)". It matches the Rfam family "U2 spliceosomal RNA". From Rfam's summary of the family: U2 is a small nuclear RNA (snRNA) component of the spliceosome (involved in pre-mRNA splicing). Complementary binding between U2 snRNA (in an area lying towards the 5' end but 3' to hairpin I) and the branchpoint sequence (BPS) of the intron results the bulging out of an unpaired adenosine, on the BPS, which initiates a nucleophilic attack at the intronic 5' splice site, thus starting the first of two transesterification reactions that mediate splicing. Lineage: Eukaryota; Metazoa; Chordata; Mammalia; Primates; Tarsiidae. The record is from Rfam by way of RNAcentral.
AGAACUUUUCAGACUUUUGGCUAAAAUCAAAUAUAGUAUCUCUUCUUAUCAGUUUAAUAUUAAUGCCAUAAAUAUGUACAAAUAUGUCUUAUACAUCAUUUAUCUGAGGACAAUAUAUUAAAUGGAAUUUUGGAGCAGGGAGUUGGAAUAGGAGCUUGCUUCAUUGUCUCUACAACCGGUCUGGUAUUGUAGUACCUUGAGGAACGGUGUACCCCUU